CAUCCUACGGGAGGCAGCAGUGGGGAAUCUUAGACAAUGGGCGCAAGCCUGAUCUAGCCAUGCCGCGUGAGUGAUGAAGGCCUUAGGGUCGUAAAGCUCUUUCGCCAGAGAUGAUAAUGACAGUAUCUGGUAAAGAAACCCCGGCUAACUCCGUGCCAGCAGCCGCGGUAAUACGGAGGGGGUUAGCGUUGUUCGGAAUUACUGGGCGUAAAGCGCGCGUAGGCGGACUAGUCAGUCAGAGGUGAAAUCCCAGGGCUCAACCCUGGAACUGCCUUUGAUACUGCUAGUCUUGAGUUCGAGAGAGGUGAGUGGAAUUCCGAGUGUAGAGGUGAAAUUCGUAGAUAUUCGGAGGAACACCAGUGGCGAAGGCGGCUCACUGGCUCGAUACUGACGCUGAGGUGCGAAAGUGUGGGGAGCAAACAGGAUUAGAUACCCUGGUAGUCCACACCGUAAACGAUGAAUGCCAGUCGUCGGCAAGCAUGCUUGUCGGGACACACCUAACGGAUUAAGCAUCCGCCGGGGAGACGGCCAGA
Molecule: ribosomal RNA, 533 nt
Filed under: uncultured marine bacterium
Lineage: Bacteria
Description: bacterial SSU rRNA
Rfam family: Bacterial small subunit ribosomal RNA
Source: RNAcentral